This 253-nucleotide ribosomal RNA is filed under the name uncultured bacterium. RNAcentral describes it as "partial 16S ribosomal RNA". It matches the Rfam family "Bacterial small subunit ribosomal RNA", at positions 524 to 776 of the family's 1533-position model. The record is from RNAcentral.
UACGUAGGUGGCGAGCGUUGUCCGGAUUUAUUGGGCGUAAAGCGCACGCAGGUGGCUGAGUCAGUCGAUUGUGAAAGCCCUGGGCUUAACCUGGGAAUUGCAGUCGAUACUACUCAGCUAGAGUAUGGGAGAGGGCAGUGGAAUUCCCGGUGUAGCGGUGAAAUGCGUAGAUAUCGGGAGGAACAUCAGUGGCGAAGGCGGCUGCCUGGCCCAAUACUGACACUCAGGUGCGACAGCGUGGGGAGCAAACAGG